UUGUCUCAAAGAUUAAGCCAUGCAUGUCUCAGUACAAGCCAAAUUAAGGUGAAACCGCGAAAGGCUCAUUAAAUCAGUUAUGGUUCCUUAGAUCGUACUCACAUUUACUUGGAUAACUGUGGUAAUUCUAGAGCUAAUACAUGCAAACAGAGUUCCGAACCGGUUACGGAAGGAACGCUUUUAUUAGAUCAAAACCACUCGGCGUUAAUGUGCGUUCACGCACAUUUCGUUUCGAACAUUCUGGUGAAUCUGAAUAACUUUUUGCUGAUCGCAUGGUCUCGCACCGGCGACGCAUCUUUCAAAUGUCUGCCUUAUCAACUGUCGAUGGUAGGUUCUGUGCCUACCAUGGUUGUAACGGGUAACGGGGAAUCAGGGUUCGAUUCCGGAGAGGGAGCCUGAGAAACGGCUACCACAUCCAAGGAAGGCAGCAGGCGCGCAAAUUACCCACUCCCGGCACGGGGAGGUAGUGACGAAAAAUAACGAUACGGGACUCAUCCGAGGCCCCGUAAUCGGAAUGAGUACACUCUAAAUCCUUUAACGAGUAUCAAUUGGAGGGCAAGUCUGGUGCCAGCAGCCGCGGUAAUUCCAGCUCCAAUAGCGUAUAUUAAAGUUGUUGCGGUUAAAAAGCUCGUAGUCGAAUCUGUGUCCCGUGCCGCUGGUUCAUCGUUCGCGGUGUUUACUGGCGUGUCCGCGGGACGUCCUGCCGGUGGGCUUAGCCAAAGCUGGUGUGUAGUGCACUUAAUGUGUACUAUCGCAUUCUUGCUGUGCGGCCCUAUUUAAAAUCCCGUCGCGGUGCUCUUUACUGAGUGUCGAGGCGGGCCGGCACGUUUACUUUGAACAAAUUAGAGUGCUUAAAGCAGGCUAAAUUUUGCCUGAAUACUGUGUGCAUGGAAUAAUGGAAUAGGACCUCGGUUCUAUUUUAUUGGUUUUCGGAACCCCGAGGUAAUGAUUAAUAGGAACGGAUGGGGGCAUUCGUAUUGCGACGUUAGAGGUGAAAUUCUUGGAUCGUCGCAAGACGGACAGAAGCGAAAGCAUUUGCCAAAAACGCUUUCAUUGAUCAAGAACGAAAGUUAGAGGUUCGAAGGCGAUCAGAUACCGCCCUAGUUCUAACCAUAAACGAUGCCAGCUAGCGAUCCGCCGACGUUCCUCCGAUGACACGGCGGGCAGCUUCCGGGAAACCAAAGCUUUUGGGUUCCGGGGGAAGUAUGGUUGCAAAGCUGAAACUUAAAGGAAUUGACGGAAGGGCACCACCAGGAGUGGAGCCUGCGGCUUAAUUUGACUCAACACGGGAAACCUCACCAGGCCCGGACACCGGAAGGAUUGACAGAUUGACAGCUCUUUCUUGAUUCGGUGGGUGGUGGUGCAUGGCCGUUCUUAGUUGGUGGAGCGAUUUGUCUGGUUAAUUCCGAUAACGAACGAGACUCUACCCUGCUAACUAGGCGUAUUUCCGACAUCUCGAAGGCCCGUCGGCCCGGCUUUCCCCUUUCACGGGGUAGAGUUGUGGUCGUGCGCGGUUUUUACUGUCGGCGUACAAACAAAUCUUCUUAGAGGGACAGGCGGCUUCUAGCCGCACGAGAUUGAGCAAUAACAGGUCUGUGAUGCCCUUAGAUGUUCUGGGCCGCACGCGCGCUACACUGAAGGAAUCAGCGUGUCUACCCUGACCGAGAGGUCCGGGAAACCCGCUGAAACUCCUUCGUGCUAGGGAUUGGGGCUUGCAAUUGUUCCCCAUGAACGAGGAAUUCCCAGUAAACGCGAGUCAUAAGCUCGCGUUGAUUACGUCCCUGCCCUUUGUACACACCGCCCGUCGCUACUACCGAUUGAAUGAUUUAGUGAGGUCUUCGGACCGGUACGCGGCGGCGUUUCGUGCGUCACCGAUGCUGCUGGGAAGAUGACCAAACUUGAUCAUUU
This 1908-nucleotide ribosomal RNA is filed under the name Eucnemidae sp. UPOL 001328. RNAcentral describes it as "SSU rRNA". It matches the Rfam family "Eukaryotic small subunit ribosomal RNA". Lineage: Eukaryota; Metazoa; Arthropoda; Insecta; Coleoptera; Eucnemidae. The record is from RNAcentral.